GGCUAGCCUUACUCAACUGGCUGCGACAUUGGUCACCCCAUUGAUCAUCAGCAUUGACUCAGCUGAUCUGGCUGGCUAGGCAGGUAUCCCCUUCCUCCCUCACUGCUCCAGGUGUAUCCCUCCUGAAGCUGCGCAGUCGGUAGAAGAGGACGACCAUCCCUGGUAGAGGAGGACCCAUCUUGGGUCAAGGUUAUACAAGUAGCUAUGCUCCCCUGCUAGAACCUCCAAACAAGCUCUCAAACUUUCUAAUUUAAGAAUGAAAGGGAGAUAUGACUAAGACACAUAGGAAUUUAAAAGCAUAAUAAAGAAAUCCUAU
Cebus imitator (Panamanian white-faced capuchin) is the source of this 316-nucleotide unclassified non-coding RNA. Its record names the gene 7SK. It matches the Rfam family "7SK RNA". Rfam says of the family: 7SK was discovered as an abundant small nuclear RNA in the mid-70s but a possible function has only recently been suggested. Two independent studies have found that 7SK RNA binds the CDK9/cyclin T complex (known as elongation factor P-TEFb). P-TEFb activates transcription by phosphorylating the C-terminal domain of RNA polymerase II. Lineage: Eukaryota; Metazoa; Chordata; Mammalia; Primates; Cebidae. The record is from Ensembl.